GGGGUUGUGGCUCAGCGGUAGAGCACUCACCUAGCAUGUGUGAGGCCCUGGGUUCAAUCCUCAGCUCCGCA
This 71-nucleotide transfer RNA is filed under the name Marmota monax (woodchuck). RNAcentral's name for it is "tRNA.Ala". It matches the Rfam family "tRNA". From Rfam's summary of the family: Transfer RNA (tRNA) molecules are approximately 80 nucleotides in length. Their secondary structure includes four short double-helical elements and three loops (D, anti-codon, and T loops). Further hydrogen bonds mediate the characteristic L-shaped molecular structure. tRNAs have two regions of fundamental functional importance: the anti-codon, which is responsible for specific mRNA codon recognition, and the 3' end, to which the tRNAs corresponding amino acid is attached (by aminoacyl-tRNA synthetases). tRNAs cope with the degeneracy of the genetic code in two manners: having more than one tRNA (with a specific anti-codon) for a particular amino acid; and 'wobble' base-pairing, i.e. permitting non-standard base-pairing at the 3rd anti-codon position. Lineage: Eukaryota; Metazoa; Chordata; Mammalia; Rodentia; Sciuridae. The record is from RNAcentral.